Molecule: ribosomal RNA, 253 nt
Filed under: uncultured bacterium
Lineage: Bacteria
Description: partial 16S ribosomal RNA
Rfam family: Bacterial small subunit ribosomal RNA
Source: RNAcentral
UACGUAGGGUGCGAGCGUUGUCCGGAAUUACUGGGCGUAAAGAGCUCGUAGGCGGUUUGUCGCGUUGUUCGUGAAAUCUCACGGCUUAACUGUGAGCGUGCGGGCGAUACGGGCAGACUAGAGUACUGCAGGGGAGACUGGAAUUCCUGGUGUAGCGGUGGAAUGCGCAGAUAUCAGGAGGAACACCGGUGGCGAAGGCGGGUCUCUGGGCAGUAACUGACGCUGAGGAGCGAAAGCGUGGGGAGCGAACAGG